Molecule: ribosomal RNA, 772 nt
Filed under: uncultured bacterium
Lineage: Bacteria
Description: bacterial SSU rRNA
Rfam family: Bacterial small subunit ribosomal RNA
Source: RNAcentral
AGAGUUUGAUCAUGGCUCAGAGCGAACGCUGGCGGCACGCCUAACACAUGCAAGUCGAGCGAGAAGGUGACUUCGGUUGCGAGUAAAGCGGCGAACGGGUGAGUACAACGUGGAUAAUCUACCCUAAGGUCCGGGACAACCCCGAGAAAUCGGAGCUAAUACCGGAUAAGACCACAGUAUCCAAGGAUACAGCGGUAAAAGAUUUAUCGCCUUUGGAUGAGUCCACGUCCCAUCAGGUAGUUGGUAAGGUAAAAGCUUACCAAGCCUAAGACGGGUAGCCGGCCUUAGCGGGUGAACGGCCACAUGGGGACUGAGACACGGCCCUGACUCCUACGGGAGGCAGCAGUGGGGAAUAUUGGGCAAUGGGCGAAAGCCUGACCCAGCGAUGCCGCGUGAGGGAUGAAGGCCUUCGGGUUGUAAACCUCUGUCAGGAGGGACGAUGGGACACUUGUGUCUUGACGGUACCUCCAGAGGAAGCCCCGGCUAACUCCGUGCCAGCAGCCGCGGUNAAUACGGAGGGGGCAAGCGUUGCUCGGAAUUACUGGGCGUAAAGGGNUCCGCAGGCUGUCANGGCAAGUCGGUUGUGAAAGCUCAAGGCUUAACCUUGGNAAUUGCAUCCAAAACUGCCUGACUAGAGUCCNAAGAGAGGUUGGCGGAAUUCCCGGUGUAGCGGNUGAAAUGCAUAGAUAUCNGGGAGGAACACCAGAGGCGAAGGCGGCCAACUGGCUUGGAACUGACGCUCAGGGACCAAGAGCGUGGGUAGCAAAACCGG